Molecule: ribosomal RNA, 345 nt
Filed under: uncultured bacterium
Lineage: Bacteria
Description: bacterial SSU rRNA
Rfam family: Bacterial small subunit ribosomal RNA
Source: RNAcentral
GAUGAACGCUAGCGGCAGGCUUAAUACAUGCAAGUCGAGGGGCAGCACGGUUAGCAAUAACUGGUGGCGACCGGCGCACGGGUGCGUAACACGUAUACAAUCUACCUUAAACAGGGGGAUAGCCUUUCGAAAGAGAGAUUAAUACCCCGUAAUAAAUUGAACGGCAUCGUUUGAUUUUGAAAGCUCCGGCGGUUUGAGAUGAGUAUGCGUCUGAUUAGCUAGUUGGUGAGGUAACGGCUACACCAAGGCGACGAUCAGUAGGGGAUCUGAGAGGACUAACCCCCACACUGGUAACUGAGACACGGACCAGACUCCUACGGGAGCAGCAGUAGGAUUAUGGUCAAU